UACGAAGGGUGCAAGCGUUAAUCGGAAUUACUGGGCGUAAAGCGCGCGUAGGUGGUUUGUUAAGUUGAAUGUGAAAGCCCCGGGCUCGACCUGGGAACUGCAUCCAAAACUGGCAAGCUAGAGUAUGGCAGAGGGUGGUGGAAUUUCCUAUGUAGCGGUGAAAUGCGUAGAUAUAGGAAGGAACACCAGUGGCGAAGGCGACCACCUGGGCUAAUACUGACACUGAGGUGCGAAAGCGUGGGGAGCAAACAGG
Molecule: ribosomal RNA, 253 nt
Filed under: uncultured bacterium
Lineage: Bacteria
Description: partial 16S ribosomal RNA
Rfam family: Bacterial small subunit ribosomal RNA
Source: RNAcentral